UACGGAGGGGGCAAGCGUUGUUCGGAAUUACUGGGCGUAAAGGGCUCGUAGGCGGCCAACUAAGUCGGACGUGAAAUCCCCAGGCUCAACCUGGGAACUGCGUCCGAUACUGGAUGGCUUGAAUCCGGGAGAGGGAUGCAGAAUUCCAGGUGUAGCGGUGAAAUGCGUAGAUAUCUGGAGGAAUACCGGUGGCGAAGGCGGCAUCCUGGACCGGCAUUGACGCUGAGGAGCGAAAGCCAGGGGAGCAAACGGG
Molecule: ribosomal RNA, 253 nt
Filed under: uncultured bacterium
Lineage: Bacteria
Description: partial 16S ribosomal RNA
Rfam family: Bacterial small subunit ribosomal RNA
Source: RNAcentral